This is a long non-coding RNA of Triticum aestivum (bread wheat), 3417 nucleotides long. RefSeq lists it as uncharacterized. The record is from RefSeq and is a predicted model, not a curated record. The transcript has 4 exons. NCBI's taxonomy places the organism in Eukaryota, Viridiplantae, Streptophyta, Magnoliopsida, Poales, Poaceae.
CGUCCCUCAUUCCUUCUCUCAUAAGGAGAGAUCGCCGCCCUAGGGUUCGGCCUGCCACCGCUGCCGCAAUCCCCACUGCCUGCUGCCGCUUCCGAACUCCCUGACGCCGUCGUCCCUGCAUCAGCUGCCGACCCGCCUCUACGCGGUGGCCAAUCCUACCACCUCGCCGAGCUUCGAUUUCUCGUAGUGGUCAAGCCACUGUGGUGCCUUCCACCUUGAGAUAUGGAGCUGCCUAAAGCAACCAGACGAGGCGAUGACCAGGGCGUCCAAACUGUACCGGCUCCACUCCCGGGCGUGUUGGUUUGGUGAUCGGCUCAACGGGACCUGGCCGUUGGGGCCUUACCACGCGGUCACCGUGCACGCUACUGUGGCGUCGACGUACGCGGAGAGCGCAAGGACAUUGAAGCUUGGGAGGAGGCCAUCGAUGAUAACGUCAUGGUCUGGAUGUCCGAGCCCAAGUAUUUGCCACUCUGGCCUAGGACCUCCUACUUUGCGCUGCCCUGGUCUCCACGAGCUUGUGACCCAUGGCAGCUGGCUUCAUCUCCCUUCAGAUUAGGCUGGUGGUUCUAUAGCCGGUUCAUCUAUCAUUUUUUUACUAAUGGUUCUCUUUUUUGAAGGAUUGAUUAGUGGUUCUUGCCUUCUUGUUACGUGCAGCGGAUGGGAAGCUGAUGAACUGCAGCUGCAUGCGCACAACACUUGCAUCAUUGAGGUACUCACUCCUCUACAGAACAUAACUAACUGCAUGAUGUGCAGCUGGGAGCCUGGGAAUGGCCUGUUACAGUGACAUGUUACACCGCCAGUCCCCCACUCAUUUUGCAACUACAUCUCGUAAUUGGUUUUUGUAGCUCCACUUCUACGACUUAUGAUUGUUGUGACAGGAUCUUUAAGAGAACACCUAUGAUUGCAGCGGCCAAGCUCUUCGGUCGUUCUUCUGAAAUUUCCUGUACUAAAAUUUGUUGUAUCCUUCAUAUAAGUGGGGUUUAGGCUUUUAGCCUAAGAAAUACAAGUUGCUAAUUUCAGCAGUUGAGCAGCCUUGCGGAAUAGUACAGUGAACAAGAAGCCUGCAUUUGUUGAUUUUAUUCAUUUAAUGGUUAUUAGGCUAAGUCGAAGGACUAGCGGGACUUAUAAACAUCAGGUCACCUUUUAAAGGGUCUUUGAAAGAAGUGUUUAAGGAUCUGCAAUUGUGCCGUGGUAAAAUCUACUGACGUUGGUGUUUCUUUUCAAGAUUAUACUAUUGUUUACCCAUUUGGUCCACGUUUUGUCUACUAAAAUUAUUUUUCUAUUCCUUGUGGAUAAUUUGCUUCAGUUCAUCAGACUAUCUGGUGAAACAUGCAUAUUGUUUAUCCAAACAUAUAUUGGGUAUUAGUUCACCAAUCAUGAGAUCUCUGAAUUUUGAAGGCAAAUGGUAUUUUCUGAAUUGUCACUGUUAAGUGGGAGAAGUGAUAGAGAAUGAAGAAUUGUUCCUUCAUAAAGUUUUACCAAUAUACUAUGCUUGGACUCAAAGUGCAAUGGAGUACUGGGAGAAGGACAAGUAGCUCCAUGGUAUACUUUUGAAGGGCGGAUAUUUUUUUCCAGAAAAGGCGGAAGACUUGCGCUUCAUUAUAUCAUAAGAAGCGAGAAGACAGAGUGUGAUAAUUACAAGAGACCUGACCCUAUCAGGCAACAACUGAAUAAAAGUUCCUAACUAUCUGGAUAUUUCUUUUUGUACAAAAUUGAUGAAUCAUUUCCUGUUCGUUUUGCAGAAAUUUGUGGAUAUUUAAGUUGAAGGGCCACCAUCUUACUCACACAGGUCAAAAGGAUUUUGUUUGCCCACAUCCAGGUUGUGCUAAGGCAGGGAUUCACUAAAUUUCCAUUGCAUGACAACAUUUUUACUCCUAAUUCUCAACAUACAGUUCGAGCUUAUAGCUGCAGUGUUCUUCUAUCUAAUGACGCUACCAAUUGUACCCUACCUAAUAUGUUUCACUGAUUUGAUUAGAUGAACUGGUAUGCCAAUUCUAUCACUGAAGAUGUUUCACUGAUUUGAUCACAUAAACUUUCCUCUGACGGGUGAUGGUAAUUCCCAAGUCCUCAUGGACCUGUUUAUUGAUGGUUGUUUAUUAAGAAUCAUGAUGUGAUAUCUGCCUUUCAUUUGUUUCAUGGAUCUUUAUUGCAUCGGUUCAAGAACCUCGAAGGCGGCUACCUCUCCUUCCUCAAGAUCAUGGCUGCGAUAGUCAUCGCUACUACAAGAGGAUCAAAGCUGAAGAUGCAUCAGCCAUCCCGUCCGGCGAGGGGGCUCAAGAAGAAGUAACCAAUAAAAUACGAUGGGGGCCCUGUCAGUGAUGGACGAGAUGGUCUUGAUUCGGAGAAAGACAAGGACACACAACAAUGCUGGGGAUUAAAGAGAGUAAGAGAAAGAGGAAGGGCAGUGGGACUUGAUGUUGCCGAUGGUUUGCGUGCUUGCUGCAGUGUGUUUGUGCUUGGUGUCUUUGCAAAGGCACAUGAAUUCGUGCUGGCACAUCUAAAACUCUUUUAUUUGAUUGGCAGACAGGGUGUUCCAGGAUGCGAGCAGGGCUCAGAAUUGCUCGGUAAUCAGCUUCAGCUGCUGAAUGAUGGUCGUCCGCUUGCCGUCGCCGUGUGCCGUGGCAGAGUGGUGGUCAGCUCACGGAUCAAUAUGUUAUGUGCUAGUUUUCGAUGGAGUUCGUGUGGAGAGCAAAGAAGGUUGUACAUCUCAGGUCUCGACCUGAUGGGAUAACGUGAUAACUUAUGCUCACCUUCGUGCGGAGAGGCAGAAGCUGAGUCUGCUUUGGGGAAGGCAUUUGUACACAUGGGCUGCCUCUUAUAUUAGGCUACAGCCGAACUAACCUAGGAAACAGUAGCUGACUAAGAUAGUCUGUAUUAUACAGGGGUAUUGCAUACUUAUUUUAAACUAUUGUUUCCUAACCUUCAAUCGGGACUCUAGACCAACUCUCACCUGAACGCUAUUUACUGCCUAGGCUUCUGGUUUACUGCUGCUGCUCCUAAUGCAGUACCUGCUACAUCUGGAAUAGAACUGCUGCUGCCAUCAAUUUUCUUGUGGCACCUCUGGUAUGUGUGGGCCCCAAAAGGAGUCCACAACAACUUAUCUCUUAGCUUUACCUCCAACACAAGUUUGCUCAUGCAAGGUUGCAAUUCUUGAACAUGAACAACCUGCCAUAGCCUUAAUAUAGAUUUAUGCCGCGGCUGGCUGGAAAGUGGAACUGAAACAACUUAAAAGUUAUGCUGUGUUUCAAAAUGUUCGCAUUAUAUUUGGGGUAGGGCAGUGCUGAUCAUUUUUUUUCCAUUUCGUUAAUGUUAAUCUUUCUUACUAGUUACGACAAGUACCCUAAGCUGGUUUGUUUAGCCUACACAGCUACACACUCUUAGCCCAAAGCAUAUACUGCCCUCCAUUCACUUCUAACU